CCCUCUCAAGGAAAGAUGGCUGGGCACUUCAGGUCUGUUCAUGGUGUUUGGUGCUGAUGGUUGCGUCUUUCACACCAGAAAUUGCCUCAUAUGCAGAUACUAGAUGGCUCACUUCAGUUCCAUCUCCGAAGUGCCCCUGUGUCCUCUGUUAGUCCAAUGGCUCCUCCAUCACCCUUGAUGGCUGCAUUGUUCUGUUCAUGAGCUUGGUCAAUGGCCAUGGCAGAGAAGUCUCUUCUGGACAACAAAGUUUGUGAAACUCUCUGGCUACGUCUUGAUGCUGCUUCUCAAGAGGCAUUAUAACUCUGAAAUGAACUGGAAGCCACUGAGCAUAAUUUACAUUGUUAUUCGCGAAGAAGUAACUAUUUGACAGAGGCAACACCUGGUCCAGUUGGUCUGCCAUGAUGCAGUCUCACAUUUGGUGUUUGAAGCCAUUCUGAUGACUAGGGCCGAGGGUUUAUCCUUUUACCAACCUGUAUCAUGGGCACUUUCCUGUAUAGGAUAUGUAGCCGGUGGGACCAAUGGGCGUAGCGAACUUUUAUUUUGAUUCACCUCUGUCACCUUUCUCCUGUGUGUACGUCACUAGUAGGGGCUUGGGCUGGGUUCCAAUUAGUUUAGUGCAAACAGGCAUAGAUAUAUACACCUUGGGUCCUUAUGCCGGUAGCCAUCCAUUACUGAUUGUGGAGUGAAGCCGCGUUUUGGAGCGUUGUCUUCAGCGACACGGUAUGUUGGAAAUGACUCUCUUUUCCCUUUCUUGGCGUCAGUGUUAAGUGGACUAAGCAACGUUUUGCCUUUGGUUAGGUAGCUUGUUAUAGAGCGGAUGCCAACAGGAACGAGUUGAGCGUCUUCCCUACCAACUGCAAUCCAUAUCCCGUUUACAUGCAUCGCAACGUGUUAAGUAGCAGUCAGUGUAUCAGUGCGGUGGUUAUUGUGGUUGCUGGCCGCAUAUAGAUACCAGGUGCAUGACGUUCUCGGGUGCAGCUGUUUAGACAGCGAAGGUACGUUUUGUCUAUGCCUACAGCACACUUGCUAACAUACCACUGCUUUGUGUCCUUGCAGUAAAUAGCCUCUAGUGGUUUCUGUUUAAGGUUACCUGCUCAUCUGAAUCCUGUUUGAAUGAGUGUAUGCUUCGAGUGUAAGCCAGCUGUGUUUGCAAACACUUAAACUUGUACUCUGUUUGUUCCUGUCUUAUAGAAGCUAUUGAAGCACACAGCUAUACUGCAUUGUUAGCUGCUGUUCUCUUCCAGUUAGUUAUAGGUCCGGGUGCUGCUUUUAGAAUAUAUGUAUCUCUGUUUUCCCCUCUAGCCUGGGGGCCUAGGUGUGUAUAUGUGGCUAAGAGGAUAUUGUGAGCCACAGGUUAGAGGGUUUAUUUUUGUUUGUUUGUUUCAUUAAUUUGUUAUCUGUUUCCCCUGUGUCAUCUCCCCUGCCGCAAUAGCCUGGGUAUCGUUUGGGGCCCUAGCCUAGAUUACAGGUUGGCCAGGUUUUCCUCUAAGAUAGUUUCUCACCUUUGAUAAGAUGUGCAGUGUAAUGCAGUGAAGUGUGAACCCCUUUUUCUUAAUGUGCCCAAGUGGUGCGCUUGCGGUGGUGUGGCCAAUGAGCUAGUAGUGUGUGCUCUCCUUCACAUGUGGUAUUGGAGGCAGGCCCCUGUUAGUCUGUGUGGUCAGUGGCUCCGGAUUCUUACCCAACGGCUGGGGCAUUCCCCUGAAGUCCAUUUAAUGUAUUUAUGUAUUUAUUUAUUGACAACCAAAGUGACACCUUGUUUUAACGAGAAACAAAAUUAAACCUAAUCUUUUAUAUCUUUCCAAAGAA
Molecule: long non-coding RNA, 1806 nt
Organism: Clupea harengus (Atlantic herring)
Lineage: Eukaryota; Metazoa; Chordata; Actinopteri; Clupeiformes; Clupeidae
Exons: 2
Source: RefSeq, a predicted model, not a curated record